GAUUAGCUCAGCGGUAGAGUAGUCGGCUGUUAACCGAUUGGUCGUUGGUUCGAAUCCAACA
This 61-nucleotide transfer RNA is filed under the name uncultured Campylobacter sp. It matches the Rfam family "tRNA", at positions 7 to 64 of the family's 71-position model. Rfam says of the family: Transfer RNA (tRNA) molecules are approximately 80 nucleotides in length. Their secondary structure includes four short double-helical elements and three loops (D, anti-codon, and T loops). Further hydrogen bonds mediate the characteristic L-shaped molecular structure. tRNAs have two regions of fundamental functional importance: the anti-codon, which is responsible for specific mRNA codon recognition, and the 3' end, to which the tRNAs corresponding amino acid is attached (by aminoacyl-tRNA synthetases). tRNAs cope with the degeneracy of the genetic code in two manners: having more than one tRNA (with a specific anti-codon) for a particular amino acid; and 'wobble' base-pairing, i.e. permitting non-standard base-pairing at the 3rd anti-codon position. Lineage: Bacteria; Pseudomonadati; Campylobacterota; Epsilonproteobacteria; Campylobacterales; Campylobacteraceae. The record is from RNAcentral.